This 906-nucleotide long non-coding RNA is filed under the name Equus caballus (horse). RNAcentral describes it as "lncRNA (ENSECAG00000059293.1)". Lineage: Eukaryota; Metazoa; Chordata; Mammalia; Perissodactyla; Equidae. The record is from RNAcentral.
CUAAGGUUCUGGAUGAACGUUUGCUUCCACCAAUGAGAAGCACAUGUGUGAGAUUUGGAAGUUGGAAGUGAGAUGAAGGCCUCCUUCUUCCAAAUGAGCUGCCGGCUCAUCGGUGUUUGCAGCCAGGCUCAGCAUUCCAGUGUCGAGUAAUCAAUCAGCUUUGCCAUCAUCUAUAGGCAGUGACCAAGAUGCAGCAGUCAUUGUGCAGUCACCAAUUUUGGGGGGAACUGAGGCAACUGUGGGACUCAAGCAGUGGAAACAGCAGCAAUUUUCUGGCCUCUGGAUUGUAGUUGUGUGCCUUGAAAUCAAUAUCUAGCAGUGGGCCACUGUCUUCUGCUGCUGGAACCCAACCUACAAUUUUUUCUUGGGCUUCUAAAUCUUGUGAAGAACUCUCUAACAUCACUGAGAUAAGGUAUUUUCUUCAUGUACUAUACUUUAUCAUGCCCUCCGAUUAUGGAGACUAAAAUGAGUAGCCAGAACUCCUGUUCAUAGCAUCACUAUUCCUCAUCCAUACUAUGGUAAAUCACUCUUCUUAUUUUUUAAAUUCACUUUAUAAAGUUUAAAGCAUAAAUGAGAUAUUUGUUCCUUACUUAGCAAUCUUCCUUGGCUCCCUAUUUAUUUCAGUUCUCAAAUAGGAGCUUCAUCUGUAAUUAUAAUCAUUAUUAUUAGUAUUAUUAGUCUUUCAUAAAUACGACUCACAUUCUGCUGAUCCUCUUCUCUUCCUGCUAGUUAGAUAUAUGUGAUCUUUCACCAACAGGCUUUUAUUAUAGUCUUCACAGCCCUUCUACCCUAUAUUUACUUCUCCCAAUCAUUUGAGUAACAUUUAUCGUGCUCCAUAAUGUAAUGAUUGUUAUUAAACUGUUAUUACUGUGACUUUUAUAGUAAAGACUUUUUUAAGAAACACAC